CCUUAACAAGUAACAAUUAGAGGGCAAGUCUGGUGCCAGCAGCCGCGGUAAUUCCAGCUCUAAUAGCGUAUAUUAAUAUUGUUGCAGUUAAAAAGCUCGUAGUUGAAAUUUGGAACUUUAUUGUAUUGGUUUGUCUUUUGAUGAACUGUAUAAUGGGUUUCUUCCUACUAGAGUUCGAUUCUGUUCUUAACUGAAUGGAGUAGCUAUCUUUCGGGGUGGUCAAUUGGUUGUUAUAUCUCCACUAAUAAGCAGAGAGGGGUUAAACCUUCAAAGUAAGUUAUGUGGAUCAAGGUAUGGUGAUUAAUUGGAGUUCUAGUUCAUUUACUUUGAGAAAAUUAGAGUGUUUAAAGCAGCCUCUUGGGGCACUGAAUACAUUAGCAUGGGAUAAUAAAAAUAGGAUCUUCACAAUAUAUUUUAUUGGUUUAAAUUGUCGUAUGAAGAUAAUGAUUAAUA
Molecule: ribosomal RNA, 453 nt
Filed under: uncultured eukaryote
Lineage: Eukaryota
Description: bacterial SSU rRNA
Rfam family: Eukaryotic small subunit ribosomal RNA
Source: RNAcentral